UACGUAGGGUGCAAGCGUUGUCCGGAAUUAUUGGGCGUAAAGAGCUCGUAGGCGGUCUGUCACGUCGGAUGUGAAAAUCCAGGGCUUAACCCUGGACCUGCAUUCGAUACGGGCAGACUAGAGUUCGGUAGGGGAGACUGGAAUUCCUGGUGUAGCGGUGAAAUGCGUAGAUAUCUGGAGGAACACCGGUGGCGAAGGCGGCGUUCUGGACUGCAUCUGACACUGAGAGACGAAAGCCAGGGGAGCGAACGGG
Molecule: ribosomal RNA, 253 nt
Filed under: uncultured bacterium
Lineage: Bacteria
Description: partial 16S ribosomal RNA
Rfam family: Bacterial small subunit ribosomal RNA
Source: RNAcentral